GUGCCAGCAGCCGCGGUAAGACAGAGGUGCCAAGCGUUAGGCGGAAUCACUGGGCUUAAAGCGUGUGUAGGCGGGUUCCUAAGUACCUUGUGAAAUCCCCCGGCUCAACCGGGGAACGGCUUGGUAUACUGGGUGCCUUGAGCCAGCUAGGGGCGACCGGAACAAGUGGUGGAGCGGUGAAAUGCGUAGAUAUCACUUGGAACGCCAACGGUGAAAACAGGUCGCUGGGGCUGUGCUGACGCUGAGACACGAAAGCCAGGGGAGCGAACGGGAUUAGAUACCCCUGUAGUCC
This 292-nucleotide ribosomal RNA is filed under the name uncultured bacterium. RNAcentral describes it as "partial 16S ribosomal RNA". It matches the Rfam family "Bacterial small subunit ribosomal RNA", at positions 505 to 796 of the family's 1533-position model. The record is from RNAcentral.